Long non-coding RNA from Gasterosteus aculeatus aculeatus (three-spined stickleback), 851 nucleotides. RefSeq lists it as uncharacterized. The record is from RefSeq and is a predicted model, not a curated record. Lineage: Eukaryota; Metazoa; Chordata; Actinopteri; Perciformes; Gasterosteidae.
GUCAUUUUCUAGUCAGAACUCAACUUCCCGUGAACCCCGAAACUACAGACAUACCCCAACCCUGGCCUACGUAACAGUAACAUUAAUCAGAACCAUAUACCUUUCAUGAACUUAAGACACGCUACAGUAUGUUUGUGUUUGUGGUGUCUGAUGUUAUAAUAGAGCAGGUGAUCCAAACCCUCCAUUGUCCAGUCAGACCAGUAACAGGAAGAAGUGAAGCUGGUGCUCUGCUAUCUUCCCCGCUGACUACAGAUUUUCUUCAGGUGUGCUGGGGACGUCCCUCCUGCAGCUGACCAUCAUGGGGGUAAAUGGCUGUGCCAAGCCAGUGUGGGGGGAUCUUCAGUGGAAGCCAGAGCGGAACCAGAGACGCGUGAAAAAGGAAAAGGAAAAAGGAGCCGUACUCGUCUUUUGGCAAUAAAUGUUUCCUGAUUCCUGUUGGAGAUUUUGUUCUACACACUAACAACAUUAACGUGUUACUAACUUUUCUUUCUUUCUUCUCAGGAACUAAACAUGAAAAGCAUAUACAGAAAUACACUUUAACAACCACAAUGUAUAAUGUAGAUACACACAUGAAAUAACUAAAUGAAGACCAACAGGACGCCAUCAGGACGCCAUCAGGACAUCAUCAGGACGUCACGUCACCGGGGCGCGCUGAGAGUCGACCCCUCAGGAGCAGCUCCAGAUCCACACAAAGACUCACUAACGUUUCUAUUUACCCACAGGCCCUUUUCCCCCUCUAUCACUUUCUGGCCCUCUCCCCACCCUCCACUCUCUCCCUCUCAUUUUCCCCCUCUAUGUGUUUCUGCCCCACUCUCCCGUUUAUUGUGUUUUUUUUUUUGUUAAAUAUAUCA